UAUGGCACGUCAUUUUAUAAA
Non-coding RNA from Caenorhabditis elegans, 21 nucleotides. The record is from Ensembl. NCBI's taxonomy places the organism in Eukaryota, Metazoa, Nematoda, Chromadorea, Rhabditida, Rhabditidae.